AGUGAACGCUGGCGGUAGGCCUAACACAUGCAAGUCGAACGGCAGCACAGUAAGAGCUUGCUCUUACGGGUGGCGAGUGGCGGACGGGUGAGGAAUACAUCGGAAUCUACUUUUUCGUGGGGGAUAACGUAGGGAAACUUACGCUAAUACCGCAUACGGCCUACGGGUGAAAGCAGGGGAUCUUCGGACCUUGCGCGAUUGAAUGAGCCGAUGUCGGAUUAGCUAGUUGGCGGGGUAAAGGCCCACCAAGGCGACGAUCCGUAGCUGGUCUGAGAGGAUGAUCAGCCACACUGGAACUGAGACACGGUCCAGACCCCUACGGGAGGCAGCAGUGGGGAAUAUUGGACAAUGGGCGCAAGCCUGAUCCAGCCAUACCGCGUGGGUGAAGAAGGCCUUCGGGUUGUAAAGCCCUUUUGUUGGGAAAGAAAAGCAGCAGGUUAAUACCCCGCUGUUCUGACGGUACCCAAAGAAUAAGCACCGGCUAACUUCGUG
This 492-nucleotide ribosomal RNA is filed under the name uncultured bacterium. Its description in RNAcentral is "partial 16S ribosomal RNA". It matches the Rfam family "Bacterial small subunit ribosomal RNA", at positions 29 to 507 of the family's 1533-position model. The record is from RNAcentral.